GUGUCAGCAGCCGCGGUAAUACGAAAGGUGCAAGCGUUACUCGGAAUCACUGGGCGUAAAGCGCACGUAGGCGGACUUACAGGUCAAUUGUGAAAUACCUGAGCUCAACUCAGGAACUGCAGUUGAAACCGUUUGUCUUGAAUACCUGAGAGGGUGGGGGAAUACCUGGUGGAGAAGUGAAAUUCGUAGAGAUCAGGUGGAACACCGGAGGCGAAGGCGCCUGCCUGGCAGUGUAUUGACGCUGAGGUGCGAAAGUGCGGGGAGCAAACAGGAUUAGAUACCCGAGUAGUCC
This 292-nucleotide ribosomal RNA is filed under the name uncultured bacterium. RNAcentral describes it as "partial 16S ribosomal RNA". It matches the Rfam family "Bacterial small subunit ribosomal RNA", at positions 505 to 796 of the family's 1533-position model. The record is from RNAcentral.